RNA transcript from Cynara cardunculus var. scolymus (artichoke), 4414 nucleotides. It is a transcript of the gene named polyadenylation and cleavage factor homolog 4-like, with no coding region annotated. NCBI's taxonomy places the organism in Eukaryota, Viridiplantae, Streptophyta, Magnoliopsida, Asterales, Asteraceae. The record is from RefSeq and is a predicted model, not a curated record. The transcript is spliced from 9 exons.
AACGCUCGCUGCCCUCCUCCAUACGCGAUGCUUAAGCCAUGAACUCCAACUCUCGAAAAGCUUCAUCAAAACCCUAAUCCUAAACCUAAUUCAAUACACCAUUCGAAGGUCAAUUUGAACAGCAAAGAAGAAAAGGAAGUCCGAAAUGGAGGGUGCGAGUUUUUUGAGUAGUAGAAGUAUCGGAUACAGGCCAGCGCCGAAUGAUUCCGUCGCGGCGUUAGCGAGUAACAAUAAUCAGAAGUCAUUAACUCCGAUUCUUGAUCGGUUCAAGGUUUUGUUGAAGCAAAGGGAGGAAGAAAUUAGGGUUUCUAGCGGGGGAGAUGAUGAUAUUGAAAGUCCGGUGCUUAGUACUGAAGAAAUUGUGGAGUUAUAUGAAGAUGUUUUGUCGGAGUUGAUUAUCAAUUCGAAACCGAUUAUUACUGAUCUCACGAUAAUCGCCGGAGAGCAGAGAGGACAUGGUGCAGGCAUUGCGGAUGCAAUUUGUGCUCGAAUUAUUGAGGUUCCAGUUGAGCAAAAACUUCCUUCUUUAUAUCUUCUGGAUAGUAUUGUCAAAAAUAUUGGUAGAGAGUACGUGAGACACUUUUCUGCCCGCUUGCCUGAGGUCUAUUGUGCGGCAUACAGACAAGUGCACCCAAGUCUGCAUCCUUCCAUGCGACAUCUUUUUGGUACGUGGGCAACAGUGUUCCCAUCUUCUGUUCUCCGCAAGAUUGAAACUCAACUACAAUUUUCCCCUCCAUCAAGUUAUCAAUCUUCUGGUUUAAAAGAUUCUGAAUCUCCAAGACCAGCUCAUGGUAUACAUGUCAAUCCAAAGUACUUGGAGGCAAGACGUCAACUUGAAAGCUCCACUGCAGAUAGUAAAAUUCAACAUGCAAGAGCAAAUUCAGCUCCCAAGAUUCUUGGACAGCCUUGCACUGGAUUUGAUGAAUACGAAUCUGAUAACGGGGAACAGUCAUUGGGCUCAACUAGUCAUAUAGCUCGUCCGCUUUUUGGUCUUUCUCAUGCCAGACCUCCAUCACCAGCUCUUGAAGAAUUUGCUAUAGCCGAUUCUCCUAGAAGGGUUGUUGAAGGAGCAUCACCAUCAUAUCAUGGAUAUGGUUAUAGACCUGGUGGUGUGACAGCCGGAGAUGACGAACCACGUGACUGGCGGAGAUCCCAUCUUUCUGGUGCCUCACGGCAGCUUGAAGCUUCUACAACACAUAGUGUAAGUAAUGGAUUCGAUAUUCAGAGACCCAGGGAUUUGAUUAACGCUUAUGGAACAGAUGAACGGAAUAAAACGACAAACCAGAAGCUUCAACAUGUGAAAAACUUAACGAUAAAUGGGUUAGGCAGUAAGGUUGGUGGACAGACAUGGCAAAAUGCUGAAGAAGAGGAGUUUGAGUGGGAAGAUAUGAGUCCGACUUUAGCAGAUCGUGGUCGUGGUGGUGAUUUAUUUUCUUUACCGGGUAGCUCUAAAGCGGGUCAUGCCCGUGGAGCCAACCGGUCUAUACCCACAAAGACUGAUUUCGGCAGACGGGAUUGGUCUAGCCAGGAGCUGCUUCCUUCAGUUGCCCCCAACAAUAGAGUUUCCUUGCCUGAGCGUGGAUUAAAGCGGAAGAUUGCUGGAUUCCAAAAUGAGGCUUCAGAUAUUCCAGUUCCACACUACCCACAAGAAUCAUCAAAUCUUUCUCAUGACCAGCCAUGGGGAGCUCAGCAUCAUUAUAAUCCUCAUGGGCGAAGGCCGCCUCCUCUCAUCGAUAGCUUUCUAGGUGCCAAUCCACAACAUCACUUGUCUUCGUUGCCCAGAUUGAAUUCAUCAAGUCACGGUAUGAUGAAUCCCGAGGCAUCUAUACCAGCAUCAAAAGGAGCUUGGCGACCCCAAGUAAACAUACAAAAAUCUCAACCACUUCCCGUUCUGCCUUCUCUCUCAUUUCAGAAACAUGGUAGGAGUCAGUUUGACACGUUGAAUGCUAGCAAUUCAGCAGUAAAUGACAAUUCGUCGUUUUUGCAUCAGCAGCAGUUUGAUACUAGUGAAAGCAGAUUGUCGAGCCAACUACCUCAACUCCCUAAUCAGCAGGCUGGGUUCGCCCCCCAUCAGCAAAUCCCGGGCCAGAACACUAGGUUCUCAUCUCAAGAUCUUCGAAAUAUGGUAUCAACCACUUUAGGUUUUAACCCAUCUCAUCUAGCAUCGCGACCCAUGAUACGUGGGUAUACCCCUCAAAGAUUUGAUGGCUCUGGGGGGGCUUCCUUGAAUCCAGUUCCAGGAAUGCAGUCAUCAAUGCCUUUUCAUUUACAUGGCGUAGGUGUGCCUCCUUUACCUCCAGGCCCCCCUCCGAUUCCUCAACUUCCUCUAUCAAUUGGCCCGACACAGCCAGGUGGGGGCGCACUUUCUGGUUUAUUUAGUUCUCUUGUGGCCCAAGGUCUGCUCUCACUGACCAAGACUCCUGAACAGGAUUCCGUUGGGCUUGAGUUUGAUCCUGAUGUUCUCAAGACACGUCACGAAUCUGCAAUAAUUGCGUUGUAUGCUGAUCUGCCCAGACAAUGCAAAACAUGCGGUCGCCGGUUUAAAUUGCAAGAAGAACACAGUAGUCAUAUGGAUUGGCAUGUGACCAAGAAUCGGGUAUCGAAAAGCCGCAAGCAAAAGCCCUCUCAGAAGUGGUUUGCUAAUGUUAGUUUGUGGCUUAGUAGUGCAGAGGCAUUGGGAACCGAUCCAGUUCCGGGAUUUCUUAAUCAAUCUGAGAAUGUUGUCGAAAAGAAGGAUGAUGAGGAUAUGGCUGUUCCAGCUGAUGAGGAUCAGAAUGUCUGUGCACUAUGUGGAGAACCGUUUGAUGAUUUUUACAGUGAUGAAACAGAAGAAUGGAUGUAUAGAGGUGCUGUCUACAUGAAUGCUCCGUCUGAAUUAACUGUAGGCAUGGAUAGAUCUCGGCUAGGCCCUAUCGUUCAUGCUAAAUGCAGAUCCGAGUCGACUGUGGCUCCUCCUGAUGAUUCUGGCAACAAUGAACGGGUAUUUAACGAAGAUCGGAUGCGUAGUUAGCACCAAGCUUAAUCUGACUUUUAGGUCCUUAUCUGAUUCUUGUUUCUUAGACAUACCAGUGUUCUAAAUGGCUCGCCGCAGUAGGCGUUGUCGCUCAAGGCUUGUGUCUGAUGUCUCGUUAAGCCCGUGGCAUGCCAUGGCCUAAUGCACGGUUUUUAUCUAUGCAUCUUGUUGCUUAUGGUUCUUUGCAGGGAGGGCAACUUCUACACUGGGGAUUUUACAAUCAACUGCAACAUUAAUGACGAUCUCUUUGAUCGGCUGCAAGAACCUUGCGGUGCGUACAUUCUGGUGAUCUCUGUUCUGUCCAGUGUACCAAAUGCACCCUUAUUGUUGUUUUAGUAUGAUUUGGUUUUGAUUUGAGUGUAAGGCUCGGUCCUUGGUCGUUAUCCGUCUUGUUCCUAACCAGGUUCUCAACUGGGCCAAGAUCGCGAUGGUGCGGUCAUCUUUGAUACCUCUGCACUUAACUAUGACCUUGGUGGCAUGAGAGAGGACCCUAAUGCUGGAAUAUUGCUACCAAGCCAACAUUGGCUUUUACAACUUGGGGUUUUCAUGGAAACAACCAUUCUAAAUCAUUGGGUAGAGACCAAGUUUGCGUACAUCCCACCCCCAGACUCCACCCUGGGUUGGAUAUACCUUCUCUACUUCUUUGAGUAGAUGUCAGGUCUGUGUAUGUCUUGCCCCUGGACUCCACCCUGAGGGUGGGAUAUUCUCUACUUCUUGGAGUAGAUGUAGAGUAGAUGUCAGGUAUGUGUACAUCUCACCCCCAUACUCCAUCUUGGAGGUGGGGAUAUACCUUCAUUACUUCUUGGGUUGGAUGCCACGUAUGCGUACAUCUCACCCCAGACUUCACCUUGGGGGUGGGAUAUACCUUCUCUACUUCUUGGGUUAGAUAUCAGGUUUGUUUCCAUCUCAUUCCCAGACUCCAUAUUGGGGGUGGGAUAUACCUUCUCUACUUCUUGGGGUAGAUAUCAUGUCUGCAUAUAUCCCAUCUCAGACUUCAAGGGUGGAGUUUGGUGGUGCGAUAUACCGGGAAUGUUGGAGUAUGGUGGUGGGAUAUACCGGGGAUGUUUGGUUAUUCAUUCAAUAGUACGGUUUUUGGGAGAAAGAAAAAAUCUGUUGUGCUUGUAAAAAACGGAUGAAGUUUAAAUUUCGAAGUAUCAGCCAUGUUGAAUGGUGUUUGUAGACAAUAUUUCUCAUGCACACAAGUCCCUCCGAUGGCGUUUACGAGUUGUGUAUGGGAUGGUUUUACUAGGUCCCAUAAGUUGAGCCAAGUUACUUGGGCUCGGAUGUGAUUCUAGCUUGAUCAACUUCGGGUCAACUUGAAUACGAGUGAUAGUUUCUCUGUUUUUGCCUCGUAAACUCCUGUUUCCCAACUCUUAAACACUUUCCAAUAUUCAGGUGCUA